CCUACGGGAGGCAGCAGUGGGGAAUCUUCCGCAAUGGACGAAAGUCUGACGGAGCAACGCCGCGUGAACGAAGAAGGUCUUCGGAUUGUAAAGUUCUGUGAUUCGGGACGAAAGGGUUUGUGGUGAAUAAUCAUAGACAUUGACGGUACCGAAAAAGCAAGCCACGGCUAACUACGUGCCAGCAGCCGCGGUAAUACGUAGGUGGCAAGCGUUGUCCGGAAUUAUUGGGCGUAAAGCGCGCGCAGGCGGUUUCUUAAGUCCAUCUUAAAAGCGUGGGGCUCAACCCCAUGAGGGGAUGGAAACUGGGAAGCUGGAGUAUCGGAGAGGAAAGUGGAAUUCCUAGUGUAGCGGUGAAAUGCGUAGAGAUUAGGAAGAACACCGGUGGCGAAGGCGACUUUCUAGACGAAAACUGACGCUGAGGCGCGAAAGCGUGGGGAGCAAACAGGAUUAGAUACCCUGGUAGUCC
RNAcentral lists this ribosomal RNA (466 nucleotides) under Dialister pneumosintes. RNAcentral describes it as "bacterial SSU rRNA". It matches the Rfam family "Bacterial small subunit ribosomal RNA", at positions 338 to 796 of the family's 1533-position model. The record is from RNAcentral. Lineage: Bacteria; Bacillati; Bacillota; Negativicutes; Veillonellales; Veillonellaceae.